RNAcentral lists this ribosomal RNA (1400 nucleotides) under uncultured bacterium. RNAcentral's name for it is "16S ribosomal RNA". It matches the Rfam family "Bacterial small subunit ribosomal RNA". The record is from RNAcentral.
AGAGUUUGAUCCUGGCUCAGGAUGAACGCUAGCGGCAGGCUUAACACAUGCAAGUCGAGGGGCAUCGGGAGGGAAGCUUGCUUUCCUUGCCGGCGACCGGCGCACGGGUGAGUAACACGUAUGCAACCUGCCCUCUUCAGGGGGACAACCUUCCGAAAGGGAGGCUAAUCCCGCGUAUAUCGGUUUCGGGCAUCCGAGAUCGAGGAAAGAUUCAUCGGAAGAGGAUGGGCAUGCGGCGCAUUAGCUAGACGGCGGGGUAACGGCCCACCGUGGCGACGAUGCGUAGGGGUUCUGAGAGGAAGGUCCCCCACACUGGUACUGAGACACGGACCAGACUCCUACGGGAGGCAGCAGUGAGGAAUAUUGGUCAAUGGGAGAGAUCCUGAACCAGCCAAGCCGCGUGAGGGAAGACGGCCCUAUGGGUUGUAAACCUCUUUUGUCGGAGAACAGAACCCGGGACGUGUCCCGGACUGCGUGUAUCCGAAGAAAAAGCAUCGGCUAACUCUGUGCCAGCAGCCGCGGUAAUACGGAGGAUGCGAGCGUUAUCCGGAUUUAUUGGGUUUAAAGGGUGCGUAGGCGGUCUGUUAAGUCAGCGGUAAAAUUGCGGGGCUCAACCCCGUCGAGCCGUUGAAACUGGCAGGCUUGAGUUGGCGAGAAGUACGCGGAAUGCGCGGUGUAGCGGUGAAAUGCAUAGAUAUCGCGCAGAACUCCGAUUGCGAAGGCAGCGUACCGGCGCCAGACUGACGCUGAGGCACGAAGGCGUGGGGAUCGAACAGGAUUAGAUACCCUGGUAGUCCACGCAGUAAACGAUGAAUGCUGGUUGUCCGGGUCGAAUGAGAUCUGGGCGGCGAAGCGAAAGCGAUAAGCAUUCCACCUGGGGAGUACGCCGGCAACGGUGAAACUCAAAGGAAUUGACGGGGGCCCGCACAAGCGGAGGAACAUGUGGUUUAAUUCGAUGAUACGCGAGGAACCUUACCCGGGCUCAAACGACACAGGCAUACUUUUGAAAGGAGGUAGCCCUUCGGGGUCUGUGUCGAGGUGCUGCAUGGUUGUCGUCAGCUCGUGCCGUGAGGUGUCGGCUUAAGUGCCAUAACGAGCGCAACCCCUAUCGCCAGUUACCAUCAAGUAAAGUUGGGGACUCUGGCGAGACUGCCGGCGCAAGCUGUGAGGAAGGCGGGGAUGACGUCAAAUCAGCACGGCCCUUACGUCCGGGGCGACACACGUGUUACAAUGGGUGGUACAGCGGGAAGCCAGGCGGCGACGCCGAGCGGAACCCGAAAUCCACUCUCAGUUCGGAUCGGAGUCUGCAACCCGACUCCGUGAAGCUGGAUUCGCUAGUAAUCGCGCAUCAGCCAUGGCGCGGUGAAUACGUUCCCGGGCCUUGCACACACCGCCCGUCA